AUGAAUAAAGGUUCAUUUAAGGCAUGCCUUAUUGACCAUAAACACAAUUUCAGAUUUUUUCUUCAUUGUAAUCAGAAUGUAAUCAAAAAGUAAUCAGGAUUACAAGGUAUUUUGAAAAGGAAUUGAUUAAAAUAAAUUACAUGUAAUCAGAUUCUUGGCUGAUUAAUAAUUACAAUGAUUACUUGAAAAAUUGUAAUCAAUUACAGCUGAUUAAUGAUUACAAUUACAAUUACCCCAAGCCUGGUUGUAAUACAUGUUAUACAGUUAUUUAUUUACGUUUGACUGUCCCUCUGGUAUCUUUCGUCUCUAUUUUGUAUCUGAAUUACAUUUAUCGCUAUGUAAUAACGCGUAAAUACUUACUUUGAUUUUUUAACCUAUCACUCCACUUAACAAUUGUGAAAGGGUUAUGGUCAAUAUCCGCAAUUAACGGCCCUAUUAGAAUGAAUGUUUAAACAAGUUGAUUGAGAAAAUCUAAAUCUAUUUUUUUUUCUUUCUUUGUUUAAAUACGUGUUUGUUUUAUAGUGAUCAAGAUUAUAACACCAUGCUGACCACUGUACCCCUUCUCAUGUUUACCUUAUAUGUCUCUUUUUUCACACAUUGUUGUCAAAAUUCAGAAACAAUUGCUCCUGUCAUACAAGUGAGAGGUUUGGCUAGCUUUAAAUAAAACCAGAUGUUAUCCACCAUUUUUUACAUAAUAAAAUGACAGUACCAAGUCAGGAAUAUGACAUUUAGUAUCCAUUCGUUUGUUGUGUUUAAGCUUUUGAUUUUUGCCAUUUAAUAGACAAGACAAGACAAGUUUAUUAAUACACUCUGGCAUAUAUUGUAUGCAACUAGAGCAACAACAUAAUUAGUUGGUCAAUAAAUAUUACAAAUAAAAAAUAACGCAACCCUUUUAUUAUAUUUAUUUCAGUACAGUACUAGCGUAGAAUGAAAUUUUUGAAGAUAGAUUAUUGAUAGAGUUCAUGCAGUUCGGAUUGAUUUAAUAUUGGCCAUGCUUUACGAAUAAGGUUUGUCAGAAUCAAUUUUGUUAAUAAGGGAAUUUCCGUUUUGAAUUUUCCUUGGAUAUUUUGUUAUUUUACUUGUUUCUAAAUUGUAAGUUUGUGUCAAUGUUUUAUUUCUGAAAGUAUGAAAAACAUAUUGGCCUGACAGAAAGGUAUUUCAUUUUAGAUGAUUUUUACUGAAAUCGUUAACUUCAUCACCCUAUAUUAUUAUUUCAAAAUUGCGGCAUGUUAAGUUAAAACAGAUAUGAUAUUUUAAAGAUUAAUUUACAUGAGCAGGUUUGAUAUUCGUUUAAUGAAUUUGCAACUAUAUGUUUACAAACAUUUGCUUUGUCAUUAAUUGAGACGUUGCCACUGUUCUACAUGUAUGUUAUGUAUUUCAUCAUUUAUA
Molecule: long non-coding RNA, 1389 nt
Filed under: Mytilus galloprovincialis (Mediterranean mussel)
Lineage: Eukaryota; Metazoa; Mollusca; Bivalvia; Mytilida; Mytilidae
Source: RNAcentral